Dreissena polymorpha is the source of this 907-nucleotide long non-coding RNA. RefSeq lists it as uncharacterized. The transcript is spliced from 2 exons. The record is from RefSeq and is a predicted model, not a curated record. Lineage: Eukaryota; Metazoa; Mollusca; Bivalvia; Myida; Dreissenidae.
UUAUCUUAUAAUGUUAUGUUUAAUUUAAUGAUAUAAUUUAACAGUUACAAAGAUCUGUUUUGGUGGGUGAUUUACAUUUUAAAUAAAUGAUGAAACCAAUUAUCUUUGCAGUAUGUUCACAUAAAAGACAUAAGUCAGUCAAAGGUAUCUCUAUCUUACAAAACCAACAUAUAGUUGUAACAAUCAAUUGCCUAAUCAGUGACCAAAUGAAAGGGCAAUGUAACCAAUACUUAGAUUUAUUUAUGAAUAACUACUCUGCCACAAAAUGUAAAGCCUUUUUUUUAAUUACAUAUUUACGAAAGCUAUGUUAUCACUUAAAAGGUGUUGCAUUAUUUAAGUUGUAAUUUUAGUAGAUCCCAUAUGAUCACUUCAUUCAGAUUGGCUAAACAAAGUAAUUUUUAACCAGGUUUUCCGAAGGAAAAAACUGGUUAUUAGAUUGGCGAAUGCGGGCGGGCUGGCUGGCUGGCGGGCUGGCUGGCUGGCUGGCUGGCGGGCUGGCGGAAUAAGCUUGUCCGGGCCAUAACUAUGUCGUUCAUUGUCAGAUUUUAAAAUCAUUUGGCACAUUUGUUCACCAUCAUUGGACGGUGUGUCGCGCGAAAUAAUUACGUCGAUAUCUCCAAGGUCAAGGUCACACUUUGAGUUCAAAGGUCAAAAAUGGCCAUAAAUGAGCUUGUCCUGGCCAUAACUAUGUCAUUCAUUGUGAGAUUUUAAAAUCAUUUGGCACAUUUGUUCACCAUCAUGGGACGGUGUGUCCCACGAAAGAAUCACGUCAAUAUCUCCAAUGUCAAGGUCGCCACGACUAAAAAUAGAUUUAAAAAAAAAAAAAAAAAACUUACAAAGGGGGUUAAUUUUUUUUGGUCAUUUCAAAAGUUCAGUUUGAGUUUUCUCCCUUUAUCAGAUUUUUUUU